UACGGAGGGGACUAGCGUUGUUCGGAAUUACUGGGCGUAAAGCGCACGUAGGCGGAUUUGUAAGUCAGGGGUGAAAUCCCGGGGCUCAACCUCGGAACUGCCUUUGAUACUGCAAAUCUCGAGUCCGGAAGAGGUGAGUGGAAUUCCUAGUGUAGAGGUGAAAUUCGUAGAUAUUAGGAAGAACACCAACGGCGAACGCGGCUCACUGGCCCGGUACUGACGCUGAGGCACGAAAGCGUGGGGAGCAAACAGG
This 253-nucleotide ribosomal RNA is filed under the name uncultured bacterium. Its description in RNAcentral is "partial 16S ribosomal RNA". It matches the Rfam family "Bacterial small subunit ribosomal RNA", at positions 524 to 776 of the family's 1533-position model. The record is from RNAcentral.